AGUAACACGUGGGCAACCUGCCUGUAAGACUGGGAUAACUUCGGGAAACCGGAGCUAAUACCGGAUAAUCCUUUCCUACUCAUGUAGGAAAGCUGAAAGACGGUUUACGCUGUCACUUACCGAUGGGCCCGCGGCGCAUUAGCUAGUUGGUGAGGUAACGGCUCACCAAGGCGACGAUGCGUAGCCAACCUGAGAGGGUGAUCGGCCACACUGGGACUGACACACGGCCCACACUCCGACGGGAGGCAGCAUUAUGGAAUCUUCCGCAAUGGACGAAAGUCUGACGGAGCAACGCCGCGUGAGUGAUGAAGGUUUUCGGAUCGUAUAACUCUGUUGUUAGGGAAGAACAAGUACGAGAGUAACUGCUCGUACCUUGACGGUACCUAACCAGAACGCCACGGCUAACUACGUGCCAGCAGCCGCGGUAAUACGUAGGUGGCAAGCGUUGUCCGGAAUUAUUGGGCGUAAAGCGCGCGCAGGCAGUCCUUUAAGUCUGAUGU
Molecule: ribosomal RNA, 500 nt
Filed under: Niallia nealsonii
Lineage: Bacteria; Bacillati; Bacillota; Bacilli; Caryophanales; Bacillaceae
Description: bacterial SSU rRNA
Rfam family: Bacterial small subunit ribosomal RNA
Source: RNAcentral